UAAGGAAUAUUGGUCAAUGGACGCAAGUCUGAACCAGCCAUGCCGCGUGAAGGAUGAAGGUCCUCUGGAUUGUAAACUUCUUUUAUCUGGGACGAAACCCGGGCAUUCUUGCCCGAUUGACGGUACCAGAGGAAUAAGCACCGGCUAACUCCGUGCCAGCAGCCGCGGUAAUACGGAGGGUGCAAGCGUUAUCCGGAUUCACUGGGUUUAAAGGGUGCGUAGGAGGGCAGGGAAGUCAGUGGUGAAAUCUCCGGGCUUAACUCGGAAACUGCCGUUGAUACUCUCUGUCUUGAAUCCCGUGGAGGUGAGCGGAAUAUGUCAUGUAGCGGUGAAAUGCUUAGAUAUGACAUAGAACACCAAUUGCGAAGGCAGCUCGCUACACGAAGAUUGACUCUGAGGCACGAAAGCGUGGGGAUCAAAC
Molecule: ribosomal RNA, 421 nt
Filed under: uncultured bacterium
Lineage: Bacteria
Description: bacterial SSU rRNA
Rfam family: Bacterial small subunit ribosomal RNA
Source: RNAcentral